RNAcentral lists this transfer RNA (65 nucleotides) under Mycobacterium syngnathidarum. RNAcentral describes it as "tRNA-Pro". Lineage: Bacteria; Bacillati; Actinomycetota; Actinomycetes; Mycobacteriales; Mycobacteriaceae. The record is from RNAcentral.
GUAGCGCAGCUUGGUAGCGCGUUCGCUUUGGGAGCGAAAGGUCCUCGGUUCAAAUCUUAUCUGGA